CUCUGGAAGCUGUCAGAAUCUUGCUGGAAAAGAUGCUUAUCGUGACACGGUAUCCAGAACCACACCUGGUUUCUGCAUGCCCUUUCCAGGCUCUCCAGUCUCCCCGUCAGUGCUGCUCCACAGGUCUCAAGCUGAUCAGCUGCGUGGAACAUGUUCAAAACAGAUGCUCAGGCUGUGCUCUCCGGAGCCCUGGGUGGAACGUUCCCUGGAAGUCAGAGUUCCUGUGGGUGCUGACCACUUGCCUUCUUGAGGCUCCUUUGGCUUUUCCUUUUGGGAAUAAUGCCAGAGAGGUCACUGUUUCCAGUUCGGAAUAUUCCUUUCAGUCUUUGUGA
Mus musculus (house mouse) is the source of this 332-nucleotide long non-coding RNA. RefSeq annotates it as predicted gene, 35450. The transcript has 3 exons. NCBI's taxonomy places the organism in Eukaryota, Metazoa, Chordata, Mammalia, Rodentia, Muridae. The record is from RefSeq and is a predicted model, not a curated record.